This is a long non-coding RNA of Entelurus aequoreus (snake pipefish), 1122 nucleotides long. RefSeq lists it as uncharacterized. The transcript has 3 exons. Lineage: Eukaryota; Metazoa; Chordata; Actinopteri; Syngnathiformes; Syngnathidae. The record is from RefSeq and is a predicted model, not a curated record.
AGGGAGGUGAGGGGAGCAGUGAGCAGCAGCGGUGGCCGCGCUCUGGAAUCCUUUUGGUGUUUUAACCCCCCAAUUCCAACCCUUGAUGCUGAGUGCCAAGCAGGGCGGACGCUCUAACCACCAAGAUGGAGACGUUUGAAGGCGGAGAAGAUUUUUUCAUCUGACGCCAAACUUGCUAAUUUCCUCCUUGAUAGGCUGAUGAUGCGGUCACGCUUGGGACGCAUGGUGAUGCGUGGGUCGUUCUCCCAAGAUGCAGACUGAACUACGGAUGCAAAGUGCAGGUAAGGAAAUGAUUUAAUGUCCAUAAAUCAGACAGGAUACAAACAAAAGCAACGCGUGCUGAAUGCACGGAGAGCAAAGCUCAAGCUUAGCAAAAGGAAAGCAAGAAUAGGAAUGUCACGACGUGGACUAUGGACGGGUUUGUUUUCCCGAGAUGCAAAAGAACUGGACCGGACAUGGCGUGAAGGUAAAGACAUGAUUUUAAUUCUAACAAAAAGGGUGAACAAAAAGCGUGCACAAGGCGGAGACACAACUUGACUAAUGAAACAAAAACUAGCACUUAGGCAGACUAUGGGCAAGAAACAAAAACACUUACUGUGACAUGAAACGAUCAGCAUGAACUAUGGUAGCAUGGGUAACAGAAGUAAAUCAUGGCAUGAAGUGAGCAGAGGUAAUGCCGCCAGAACGACCAACUGAAAAUGACUGGCUUAAAUAGUAGUGACAAGAUUAACACAGGUGCGUGAGUACAAAACGUGAAACAGGUGAAACUAAUAAGUUGUCAUGGAAACAAAACAAACAAGAGUGCACAAACCGGAACUAAAAAGAGUCCAAAAACCAAACAGAACAUAGCCAAACAAAACAUGAUCAAAAGACAUGACAAGGAAUUGAAAAGGUAACGCCAUAACUAGGGAUGAUGUUUGAUAAGAAAUUAUCGAGUUCGAGUCUAUUAUCGAAUCCUCUUAUCGAACCGAUUCCUUAUCGAUUCUCUUAUCGAGUCCAGAUAGGUUGUUGUAUAUGGAAAAAAACACACAAUAUUUGGUUUAACAAAAGCUCACUUUUAUUAUAUAAGAAAACAAUUUAAUCUAAUAAAUAAAUAAAUAUUGACUGUUACCCCCCUAAAAA